Molecule: ribosomal RNA, 441 nt
Filed under: uncultured bacterium
Lineage: Bacteria
Description: partial 16S ribosomal RNA
Rfam family: Bacterial small subunit ribosomal RNA
Source: RNAcentral
CCUACGGGAGGCUGCAGUGGGGGAUAUUGCACAAUGGGGGAAACCCUGAUGCAGCGACGCCGCGUGAGUGAAGAAGUAUUUCGGUAUGUAAAGCUCUAUCCGCAGGGAAGAAAAAAGACGGUACCUGACUAAGAAGCCCCGGCUAACUACGUGCCAGCAGCCGCGGUAAUACUUAGGGGGCAAGCGUUAUCCGGAUUUACUGGGUGGAAAGGGAGCGUAGACGGCAAUACAAGUCGGAAGUGAAAUACCCGGGCUCAACCUGGGCACUGCUUUGGAAACUGUAUGGCUGGAGUGCUGGAGAGGUAAGCGGAAUUCCUAGUGUAGCGGUGAAAUGCGUAGAUAUUAGGAGGAACACCAGUGGCGAAGGCGGCCGCCUGGCCUGUUGCUGACGCUGAGGCACGAAAGCGUGGGGAGCAAAUAGGAUUAGAUACCCCGGUAGUC